This 467-nucleotide ribosomal RNA is filed under the name uncultured bacterium. Its description in RNAcentral is "partial 16S ribosomal RNA". It matches the Rfam family "Bacterial small subunit ribosomal RNA", at positions 29 to 507 of the family's 1533-position model. The record is from RNAcentral.
ACGAACGCUGGCGGCGUGCUUAACACAUGCCAGUCGAACGGAAAGGCCCUGCUUUUGUGGGGUGCUCGAGUGGCGAACGGGUGAGUAACACGUGAGUAACCUGCCCUUGACUUUGGGAUAACUUCAGGAAACUGGGGCUAAUACCGGAUAGGAGCUCCUGCUGCAUGGUGGGGGUUGGAAAGUUUCGGCGGUUGGGGAUGGACUCGCGGCUUAUCAGCUUGUUGGUGGGGUAGUGGCUUACCAAGGCUUUGACGGGUAGCCGGCCUGAGAGGGUGACCGGCCACAUUGGGACUGAGAUACGGCCCAGACUCCUACGGGAGGCAGCAGUGGGGAGUAUUGCACAAUGGGCGGAAGCCUGAUGCAGCAACGCCGCGUGCGGGAUGACGGCCUUCGGGUUGUAAACCGCUUUCGCCUGUGACGAAGCGUGAGUGACGGUAAUGGGUAAAGAAGCACCGGCUAACUACGUG